Molecule: long non-coding RNA, 2585 nt
Filed under: Mus musculus (house mouse)
Lineage: Eukaryota; Metazoa; Chordata; Mammalia; Rodentia; Muridae
Description: long non-coding RNA chr10:11201816-11204401
Source: RNAcentral
AAGAAAUUUGCCAGGAAAUAUGAAUGAUUAGUUUUAGAAUUCUCAGCUUUUUAUCAUGAAUUCAUUUUGCCUUUAAAGUGAUAUUUCCUCUACAAUAGAACUUGACUAGAUGUGUUUAUGACACACUGCACUGUACAUUUAUUUUACAUGCAUAAAAUAUCUAUUAAUAUAUAGUAGGUAUAAAAUCUCUAAAAAUAUGGCUUCCUUAUUUAUGUAAGAAGUCUAAACACAAAUGUCAUUUGUUCUGUUUGUGAAUAGAUCAUGUUGGCUUUCUGUGGAGUUAGCAGAGACAUUGGAAUCCCCAGGGGAGGAAAUGAAUAGACCAUGAACUUACACACAUUCUCAUAUUCAUUCAUUUUCUCUUUCUCUUUCUCCCCCCCCCCCCCUUCCGCCCUGGUGUUGUAAACAGAAAGGCUGGAUACGAUAGGCUAUGCUGCUCAAUGAGCUAACUGUUUAGCAUCAUGAACUGGCAUGCCCUACUUCCAACUGUGUGUCCCCCACAUUAUUUACUUUUAUUAGAAGUUAUUAAAAUACAAAGCAAUAAUAUUUUUCUAUUUGAGUAAUUUUAUUUAUUCAAAUCAAGUAGACAAAUCAAGUAGUAUUGAUACUGCAGUAAGGAGUUCUUGAAUAUCUUCUACUUCCUUGCCUCUCUUUUAAUAAGGGACUUUAGCAGCCAGGAGCAGAUAUAAAGGGACCAGAGUUAAGUCAACUAUGAUGUGUCUUUCCAUUUCAUGCAUGUAGUGUUUAAAUAUGUUUGGUCCAGGGAGUGGCACUAUUUGGAGGUGUAGCCCUGUUGGAGUAGGUGUGUCACUGUGGGUGUGGUCUUUAAGACCCUCUUCCUAGCUGCCUGUCCCUGUUUGCCUUUGGAUGAAGAUGUAGAACUCCCAGCUCCUGCUGCAACAUGCCUCCCUGGAUGCUGCCAUGUUCCCACCUUGAUGAAACUGGACUGAACCUCUGAACAUAUAAGCCAGCCCCAAUUAAAUGUUGUUUUUAUAAGAGUUGCCUUGGUCAUGGUAUCUGUUCACAGCAGUAAAGACAGCCCUAAGAAAAGCCCUAAGACAGAAGUUGGUAUCAGAGACUGGAUUAUUGCUGUGAUAGGCCUGACCAUGCUUUUGUUUGAAAGAAUGUGGAUUUGGGGACUUUUUGAUUUGGAAAGCCAUGGAAUGUUUUAGGAGAGACUUAAUGAGCCAUCCUAGUAGGAAUAUGGAAGACUUUGUUGCUGUGAGUGAUUUGACUGUGCAGACCUGGCCUGAGAAGUUUCAGUGGAGAAGAAUUUAUGUGACCUAGAAGCUGUUUUUGUGGAUGAAGAAUGUGGCUGCCUUUUGCCCUUGUCUGAAGAGUCUGCUUGAGGCUAAGGUGAAGAAACUCAGAUUAAUUGCAUUGACAAAGGAAGUCUCAGAAACACCAUCAUAGACUGUAUUCUCUGCUUAAAUCUCAUGAAGAGCAUUUUGCAUAAGCAUAGCAAACGUGGGAAGGAAAAAUAUAAAAUGUAUUGUUUGAGUAUUAAAAGGACACCAGGAAGUGAACAUAGCUGAAUCCUGUGUUCAAGGAUAUUAAAUUGAAUUAAGAAAGUGGUGACCCUGGGGCAAGAUCUCACCUACCUAAGUUUAAGUCAAGGCCUGGUGCUAUACACCUUUAAUCCCAGGAGACAGAGCCUUGCAGAUCUCUGAGUUCAAGGUCAAUCUACAGAGCAAGUUCCAGGAUAGCCAAGCUUUGGCAGUGAGGAGCUGGGAAACAGAAAGCUAGUAAUAGAAUAAUGGAGGCCAUGUUCCAGCCCCAGCAGGUAACAGACUUGGACUUUAGUGCUGAUAUAUUUUUGUUAAUUUUUUUAUAUGUUUACUUUCUAUCCAAAACUCUAGCUUAUUCUCUAUUAUACUUAAUAGAAAGGUUUGAGGUCAUUUCUUUAUUAUUAACUAUUUUACUAUUUUGCCUGCUGAUAUCAUCUUUUGAGUGGAAAAACAAAAGGUGUACUGUUACAGGGUAUAUGAGUGGUUCUAUCUGAAGGUCUGAAUUAUCACUUGUAUUCUUCCUGUUUUCUCUUUAUUAUUAUUUUAAAUCAGUAGUAUGAGAUAGUAUGGUCCCCUUUACAUUUUUUUAAACCUUGUAUAUAUAAUUGAGAGGCUGUAUGUCUAAAGAAAUAAAUGUAAGAUCCUUAUUUUAGCAUGCAGAUUUUUAGCCUUUUUUUUAAAUCUUGUCCUCCCAUUAAAUUAGAAUAAUUUUCUUCCUUGUUUAGAUGUUUUGGUGGUUUUCGUUUGUUUUUGUUUUUUGUUUUUAUUUUUGUUUCACUUUGUUUUGGUUUUUUGAGACAGGGUUUCUCUGUAUAGCCCUGGCUGUCUUGUAUUUUUUCCUGUAAUAAGUGUAUUGAAAGCUUUGAGGAAAGGGCAAGUGCUGCUGUGGGAACCCAUUUACAUUUGGUUGGUAUCCUCCCCACACCUCCAUUUAGGUCAUGGCAGUGUUCAUGUUUAAGGUCUGAAAGCUGUUACUUGAUUAUUUACUACAGGUUGGGUCAAACACACUGAUGGUUGGUUCAUCAUUUGUUUAUUCCUCACAUUUUCUGUUUCCUGUGAUGGAACCGUUUUGAAAGA